UACAGAGGGUGCGAACGUUGCUCGGAAUUACUGGGCGUAAAGCGCGUGUAGGCGGAUCGGCAAGUCAGGCGUGAAAUCCCCAGGCUCAACCUGGGAACUGCGCUUGAAACUGCCGGUCUUGAGUGUCGGAGAGGGUGGCGGAAUUCCUGGUGUAGAGGUGAAAUUCGUAGAUAUCAGGAGGAACACCGGUGGCGAAGGCGGCCACCUGGACGACAACUGACGCUGAGACGCGAAAGCGUGGGGAGCAAACAGG
RNAcentral lists this ribosomal RNA (253 nucleotides) under uncultured bacterium. RNAcentral describes it as "partial 16S ribosomal RNA". It matches the Rfam family "Bacterial small subunit ribosomal RNA", at positions 524 to 776 of the family's 1533-position model. The record is from RNAcentral.